RNAcentral lists this long non-coding RNA (395 nucleotides) under Homo sapiens (human). Its description in RNAcentral is "HSALNT0297520". Lineage: Eukaryota; Metazoa; Chordata; Mammalia; Primates; Hominidae. The record is from RNAcentral.
GUCUUAGAGGCUGAGGCUGGCGCCCGUGGCCACAGUACAAUGGAGGGGGUGGUUAAUCUGGUUUUAGAGGAUGGCGGAUUGGCGAUGGCAGACAGAGCUCAAGUAACUGCGCCCAUAGGAGGGCGCAAGCACGCAGAGGCACGAGAAGAAAAGGAAGAGGGCCUGAGCCCGAACUUGGGGAAAUCAAUGCCCAAAGCCUGAGGGACUCUGGAGGGAGGACGGGAAAGGGCCAGAGGUUCACCCCCGAACCUCCAGUUGCUCAAGAAGCGCCGGGCGGGGCCCUGCAGUCGCUCAAGCUGCGAGGAGGACCUGAGAAGCGGGGACGCCUUCGAGGUUUUAGGGACCUGAGCUCCGGCGGCAGGUGGCGAAAAGGCCCAAGCCCAACGGCCGCCCCG